Molecule: ribosomal RNA, 295 nt
Filed under: Escherichia coli
Lineage: Bacteria; Pseudomonadati; Pseudomonadota; Gammaproteobacteria; Enterobacterales; Enterobacteriaceae
Description: partial 23S ribosomal RNA
Rfam family: Bacterial large subunit ribosomal RNA
Source: RNAcentral
UCGCUGUGAAGAUGCAGUGUACCCGCGGCAAGACGGAAAGACCCCGUGAACCUUUACUAUAGCUUGACACUGAACAUUGAGCCUUGAUGUGUAGGAUAGGUGGGAGGCUUUGAAGUGUGGACGCCAGUCUGCAUGGAGCCGACCUUGAAAUACCACCCUUUAAUGUUUGAUGUUCUAACGUUGGCCCCUAAUCGGGGUUGCGGACAGUGUCUGGUGGGUAGUUUGACUGGGGCGGUCUCCUCCUAAAGAGUAACGGAGGAGCACGAAGGUUGGCUAAUCCUGGUCGGACAUCAGG